CUAGGAUGGACUUAAUUCUGUCCGAUAAAACAGACACCCCAACUUUGAACCAAGAGCUCAGACCAAAACAAAGAACGGGGUGAAACAAUUGGUGAUUGCAAGAGACUUGGCUGAAAGUCUGGGCGUUGCCCCUCGAUCGUGCUGUGAACAUCUAGCUGGUCAUCAAGAGACUUCAACCACUUGCCACGUCUGACCACCAAAGAGAACUUGCAAGCGGCUGCAUAAGAGAACUUCAAAACUCGUUAUUCGCGCGCUACCAGAGAGUCAUCAAAUCCGAAGGAGGAAUCCCGAGUGACGUCACGCGACAACAACACGUCAGCAGGAAAAGUCCUGGGUCCCCUUUCAGCAACCCUUCAAGAAGUACAGCCUUCAAUUCAACGCACGCUAAAUGGCAACACCUAUCCCCUACACACGUCCGGGACCGAUCCGCUGCAAGUGUAUGGCUAACAGAACCACUUGCAAAGCUGUCACCUUCGCAGCUGAUGGCACAGAAAUGACAAUUUCAUCACUGAAAGUCAAGUCAACAAGUGCCCUUAGUGAUGGAAAAAUGUUUAUCUGUGUUCAAAUAACAAUGACACCUGAGUUUGAGGAGGGGGUUACAGAUUUUCAUAAAAAUAUCACAAUCAGCAAGAAAUAUGGCCGCCAGAAUUUAUAUUUUGGCCGAACAUCCACCAAAUUCAGGGCAGCACCACUUGCUCUUACAGAAGAUGAUGAGAAAGCUGCAAAAGAGGCCCUGUGUCCACAAUCGCACCUGGUCACAGGGAAGAAAAAAGACAUCUUUUCCCGGGGAGACUAUUUAAGUCUUCAUGGCUAAGUGGAAAAAAUACAAGCGGUGAGGAUUACAAGGAUGCCGGGUGCCGAUCCUGGACCUGUCCUUCGGUGUGGCCAGAAGGUCCUAGAUGUUUCCCUUUGGAGGGAUGGAAGUCUUGUGUGAGCUCUAACUUGUAGAGCUCACUCAUCUCAAGGCAUUCAUCUGGGAAAGUGGUAAUGGGAAACUGAAUUCCUAUAUAUUACAUUACGAAAAGCGUAAUGUAGCUACAAUUCACUUGUCACACCACAUAGGUGCUAUGAGGGUCUUUUUUGGGGGGAUCUGAAGCACCUUCUUGCCACUCCCUAGCACCGCCCAUGGUAUGGGAUUCCAUGCAUCGAG
Molecule: long non-coding RNA, 1150 nt
Organism: Onychostoma macrolepis
Lineage: Eukaryota; Metazoa; Chordata; Actinopteri; Cypriniformes; Cyprinidae
Exons: 4
Source: RefSeq, a predicted model, not a curated record